GUUUAGGUCACAAUAUUAUUUGACAUACUAAUGUGACUAAUAGAUCCAAUCCGAAAACUCUAAGGUUUGAGAGACCAGUCUUCCCAAAUGUGUACGGUCCUUAUAAUUUUCAUUUUUUAUAUCCAUAAUGGAACUCUCUUUCUUCCUCCUAUGUUCAACAUAAUUGCUCGACCUCACUAUGUUCACCAGCUCCAAGUAGUCUGAUUAAGUAUGCACUUCCAUCGGUCCUUGUUCUUAUGUUAUUUUUAUAGCAUUAAGCACCCCUUAUGCUUCCGCCUCUAUGGGAUUUAGACACCCCUUCAUACUCCAAGUGGUGUAACCGAUAAUAUUGCCUUUCUUCUCCCUGAACCAAGUUCCUAAGUUCCAAACUCCUUCUAUCGUUAGAUUCCCAUCCGUGUUGAUGGGGAUGCUCUUGUGCUUCGAGGUUUGUUGGUUUUGAUUUUUUUUACAUCCAUACUACUAUUUUUUUUGUGUGUUUCAUUGUUCUUACCUCAUUGCAUGUCAGACUUAUGCUUAGUCUCAAUGUAGUUCACUCAUUUGAAAAUGUUUGUUUUUUCUUUUUGCAUAUCUCUCUUAUGCUUAUAUCCUAUAUUCGGUUGAGUUUGUUUAUCGAGAGUUUUCAUUGCGCAUGCAUGUCUCUGCUUUGGCUAUACUUUUUGAUGGUAAUACUUUUAGUUGUUUGAUUUUUCCUUUGCGAGGUGUACACAUCUUUGCUCGCUCACUUUCUCCAAGGUUUAUGAGCAUUGUUAUUGGGGGUAGCCUUAGUUCCAGAUAUUUUACAAAUGAGCCAGAUAAUGUUGUUAUGAUGGUUAUCAUUAAGGAUAAAAGCUUUGAUUUCCUGGUUGGAAUGGUGUUGAUGGAUGGUUCCAACUUUGUCAAGAUUCUCCGGGGUAUUAUUUUGUUGUUUGUAUCAGGAUAAAGAAUCAUUUCUUGUUCAUUGUUGGUUGAUGCUUAUAAAGCAAGAGAAGAGUUUUCUUUAUACUCCAACGAAGACUUUGGUGGAUCUGAGUAAAGGUUACCACAAAACAAACUUGGGAGUUGUCCUCAUUCAAUGAUAGAACAAUCGCUCAGGCAAGUCUUUGUUAGAUAUGAGUAAAGGAGGAUACAUAAUUGAAACUUGGAGUAGUUCAAUGGAUUUAUCAAGUUUGGUGGAUCAAGAUCAAUGAAGAUCUUGAAUGUUAGUAGUUGAGUAAUAUGCAUCAAUAGGAAUCAUUAUUGUUUUAGAUCCAUGUUGGCUAAAACAUUGAGCUGUUAGUGUUUGGUUUGAUGAUAAUUAAUUAUACAAAGAUACUUGUAUCUUUAACCUUAAAAAUAGUGGAAUACAUUACCGUUUACGAUGGUGAAAAUCAUCGAAGAGUGGAGUAGGCAUAAUGAGGAAGAAUUUAUGAACUACUAUAUAUCCGGUGUACAAUUUUCUACCCCUAUCUCUUUAGUUUUUCUGCAUUAUAUAA
Lathyrus oleraceus (garden pea) is the source of this 1451-nucleotide long non-coding RNA. RefSeq lists it as uncharacterized. The record is from RefSeq and is a predicted model, not a curated record. NCBI's taxonomy places the organism in Eukaryota, Viridiplantae, Streptophyta, Magnoliopsida, Fabales, Fabaceae. The transcript has 3 exons.